GUUUUACCAAAACACAUGAUCUCGGUAAAUAAUCCGAUCCAGUAGUUGAUCCAAUCGACUACGACGCAUCAUAUGCGUCUGGCGUAUGAACCUGGGUUACGAGAUAGACUAAGCUAGCGCAAAACAAAAUUUUCUACCGCGUAAAUCAGGAAAACUGUCGUAUAUGGAUCACAGGAUUACCACUAGACGUGUAGAUGCGCAAGUUGAUCAAGCGCGUCGGGGUAGUGUAGUCG
RNAcentral lists this long non-coding RNA (233 nucleotides) under Setaria viridis. RNAcentral's name for it is "long non-coding RNA (SVIR_LNC000792)". Lineage: Eukaryota; Viridiplantae; Streptophyta; Magnoliopsida; Poales; Poaceae. The record is from RNAcentral.